AUUGAACGCUGGCGGAAUGCUCUACACAUGCAAGUCGAGCGGCAGCGCGGGGGCAACCCUGGCGGCGAGCGGCGAACGGGUGAGUAACAUAUCGGAACGUACCCAGUCGUGGGGGAUAACUAUCCGAAAGGAUAGCUAAUACCGCAUACGUCCUGAGGGAGAAAGCGGGGGAUCGCAAGACCUCGCGCGAUUGGAGCGGCCGAUAUCGGAUUAGCUAGUUGGUGGGGUAAAGGCUCACCAAGGCGACGAUCCGUAGCGGGUCUGAGAGGACGACCCGCCACACUGGAACUGAGACACGGUCCAGACUCCUACGGGAGGCAGCAGUGGGGAAUUUUGGACAAUGGGGGCAACCCUGAUCCAGCCAUUCCGCGUGAGUGAAGAAGGCCUC
RNAcentral lists this ribosomal RNA (388 nucleotides) under uncultured bacterium. RNAcentral describes it as "bacterial SSU rRNA". It matches the Rfam family "Bacterial small subunit ribosomal RNA", at positions 29 to 418 of the family's 1533-position model. The record is from RNAcentral.